UUUCACAAUAUUUUUCCCUUUUUGUACACAAUUCAACAUUUCUCAAUUUUCCAAAUUCACAAAUCUGAAUUUUCUUUCAUAUAUUCAUCGUCAAGAUUUCAUCUUUACCUGAAACAGAGUUUUAUCCAUCCGAAAGAAACUAAAGCUAUUUCAAUAUAUCUCGAGUCUCAACAUAUCUGGUAAAGUUUUUUCACGUAUCCAAUACUCGAUGAAAACAAUAAAAAGACCCUUGUAGUCCGAUUCUUUCUUGAACCUCGUAAUUGCAGAAAGCUUAGUACGCCGACCUGCGUCUUUUCUCUUCUUAUUCAACACAUCAGGAAAAAAAGAACCAAUUUUUACAGAUUUCAUAACUCCAUAUCUGAAAUUGAGAUUUACCCAUUUGAAAGGGGCAAAAAGGGAGUAUAUCUGAAGUUUCAAUUUUCACAAAUAUACACAAAAGAUCGAAUCUUUUUUUUUUUUGCACAAUUAAUCAGCAACAGAAUGACUCUGCCAGCAUAAAAGCAUGAUAAUACAACGUCUGAGUAUGUAAAAUCUUGUUUUCUGUUGUUUCACCAUAGUCAAAGAUCGUUGCCGGAAUCCAGAUUUCCGGCAGGUUUGCCGGCGAGAAUCCGAUGAGGGAAAGAAAAACGAUGAAAGGCUCAUUGGCG
RNAcentral lists this unclassified non-coding RNA (647 nucleotides) under Hevea brasiliensis (rubber tree). The record is from RNAcentral. Lineage: Eukaryota; Viridiplantae; Streptophyta; Magnoliopsida; Malpighiales; Euphorbiaceae.